Long non-coding RNA from Malania oleifera, 693 nucleotides. RefSeq lists it as uncharacterized. NCBI's taxonomy places the organism in Eukaryota, Viridiplantae, Streptophyta, Magnoliopsida, Santalales, Ximeniaceae. The record is from RefSeq and is a predicted model, not a curated record. The transcript is spliced from 2 exons.
AUGAGAAGAGAACCAACCGUCUUAAAUGGCAGAACUCCUCCCGACCUCCCAACCGAUGUGGGAUUGCUUUCACAACACUCCCCCUUAAUCCCACAUACGAGGUCUUCAGGACCUGAAUGGGCCACCAAGAAAGGAGCGAGUCCAUAUUGUCCGUUUUGGGCUUUAGGCACGCACAAUUUUAAAACGCGUCAAACCGCCCCGCCGGGGGGGGGGGGGGGGGGGGGGAUGUGGAACCGAAUUCUCUCUCCAUUGUAGCCUACAUCUGCAUGUAUCGUGCCCUCUUCUGCAUCAACGCCGGCCUCGCCAGCCUCCUCGUCUCCGUGAGACUUGCAUUGGGAGGGAAGAGCGUUAGGGGCGCAUCGUUCUUUAUUCGAGCUUUUGUAUUAUCAUCGCCGCCGCAGAAUUUCAGACAUUGCUAACGCCCUUGUCGCGAAUGCGGUGCUAGCUGCGAGCCUGUGAUCAGUAGUCCCCUCCAACACACCAACUCAAACUUAUACUAGAGUUGCUGCUACGGGUAUUAGUUUUGCUUUAGAAUCUUAAUAUUAUAAAUCGUGUUAUUGGAAAUGUCAUUCUCAGUCAACUACAAUUCGCCCCCUCUAUCGCUGGAAUUUUUGCUUAAUUGUUAUUCUGAAGCUUAUAUAUUUGAGGAUGUUUGGGAAUAUGAAUGGAGAUAGUGGUUCAUGAAUUUAUAAC